This 774-nucleotide ribosomal RNA is filed under the name Firmicutes bacterium M28. RNAcentral describes it as "bacterial SSU rRNA". It matches the Rfam family "Bacterial small subunit ribosomal RNA", at positions 31 to 789 of the family's 1533-position model. The record is from RNAcentral. Lineage: Bacteria; Bacillati; Bacillota.
CAACGCUGGCGGCGUGCCUAAUACAUGCAAGUCGAGCGAAUCUGAGGGAGCUUGCUCCCAAAGAUUAGCGGCGGACGGGUGAGUAACACGUGGGCAACCUGCCUGUAAGACUGGGAUAACUCCGGGAAACCGGGGCUAAUACCGGAUAAUAUCUAUUUAUACAUAUAAUUAGAUUGAAAGAUGGUUCUGCUAUCACUUACAGAUGGGCCCGCGGCGCAUUAGCUAGUUGGUGAGGUAACGGCUCACCAAGGCGACGAUGCGUAGCCGACCUGAGAGGGUGAUCGGCCACACUGGGACUGAGACACGGCCCAGACUCCUACGGGAGGCAGCAGUAGGGAAUCUUCCGCAAUGGACGAAAGUCUGACGGAGCAACGCCGCGUGAGUGAUGAAGGUUUUCGGAUCGUAAAACUCUGUUGUUAGGGAAGAACAAGUAUCGGAGUAACUGCCGGUACCUUGACGGUACCUAACCAGAAAGCCACGGCUAACUACGUGCCAGCAGCCGCGGUAAUACGUAGGUGGCAAGCGUUGUCCGGAAUUAUUGGGCGUAAAGCGCGCGCAGGCGGUUCCUUAAGUCUGAUGUGAAAGCCCACGGCUCAACCGUGGAGGGUCAUUGGAAACUGGGGAACUUGAGUGCAGAAGAGGAAAGUGGAAUUCCAAGUGUAGCGGUGAAAUGCGUAGAGAUUUGGAGGAACACCAGUGGCGAAGGCGACUUUCUGGUCUGUAACUGACGCUGAGGCGCGAAAGCGUGGGGAGCAAACAGGAUUAGAUACCCUG